UUAUGUGCAGAGGGUAAUAGCAGGUUGUGCGUCUCUGUCAGAGACUACUACUAUUAUAUGUUGCAGACACGGCCUGCAAUCUUCAAUCCCAUACUCUGUGGAGCACACCUGCUGCAGCAAUGGGCGGUCGACAUGUACGUUAAGAUUGAGAGUUGUCGGUUGAGGUGGUAUAGGAAGAACCAGACGCAGAUUCGUGCCGACUUGUAUAAAGGAGUUGUUGAUGCCAUCACUUAGGGGGAGACGCGAGCAAGCGCUGUUGGGGUUAGAAUAGUGCUCCCUGGAACAUACCCUGGUGGCAAUCACGACAUGAAGAAGAGGCAUAUGGAUGCCAUGGCAAUUGUCCAUACAUACGGGAAGCCUGACAUCUUCCUCACCAUGACUUGCAAUCCUAAGUGGGAAGAGAUAAGGAAUGAGUUGUUGCCUGGUCAGACGGCGCAAGACCAGCCUGAUAUUGUGGCUCGUGUGUUCUAUGGCAAACUAGAGCACAUGAAAUAUAUGUUGUUCAAGAAGCAGAUCCUGGGUGUUGUAGUCGCUUACAUAUACGUAGUCGAGUUCCAAAAAAGGGGCCUCCCCCACGCACAUUUUUUGUUGAUCAUGGACUCAACAUAUAAGCUUAUCGUCCCGGAGCAGUAUGACCGACUCAGUUCGGCGGAGCUCCCAGACAAACAAAAGUAUCCGGAAUUGUAUGCAAUGGUGGUAAAACAUAUGAUGCACGGACCAUGCGGUGCUCUCAACCCAAAGAAUUUUUGCAUGCAAGAAAACGGUUGCAAGUGCAGAUAUCCAUGGCCGUUCAAUGAGAACACAGCACAGGGGAAGGACUCAUACCUAGUUUAUCGACGGAGAGACGAUGGAAGACAUGCUAAGGUCUGA
This 870-nucleotide ribosomal RNA is filed under the name Triticum aestivum (bread wheat). RNAcentral describes it as "partial small subunit ribosomal RNA". The record is from RNAcentral. Lineage: Eukaryota; Viridiplantae; Streptophyta; Magnoliopsida; Poales; Poaceae.